RNAcentral lists this ribosomal RNA (608 nucleotides) under Mycobacterium sp. Its description in RNAcentral is "bacterial SSU rRNA". It matches the Rfam family "Bacterial small subunit ribosomal RNA", at positions 779 to 1384 of the family's 1533-position model. Lineage: Bacteria; Bacillati; Actinomycetota; Actinomycetes; Mycobacteriales; Mycobacteriaceae. The record is from RNAcentral.
UAGAUACCCUGGUAGUCCACGCCGUAAACGGUGGGUACUAGGUGUGGGUUUCCUUCCUUGGGAUCCGUGCCGUAGCUAACGCAUUAAGUACCCCGCCUGGGGAGUACGGCCGCAAGGCUAAAACUCAAAGAAAUUGACGGGGGCCCGCACAAGCGGCGGAGCAUGUGGAUUAAUUCGAUGCAACGCGAAGAACCUUACCUGGGUUUGACAUGCACAGGACGUGCCUAGAGAUAGGUAUUCCCUUGUGGCCUGUGUGCAGGUGGUGCAUGGCUGUCGUCAGCUCGUGUCGUGAGAUGUUGGGUUAAGUCCCGCAACGAGCGCAACCCUCGUCCUAUGUUGCCAGCGGGUUAUGCCGGGGACUCGUAGGAGACUGCCGGGGUCAACUCGGAGGAAGGUGGGGAUGACGUCAAGUCAUCAUGCCCCUUAUGUCCAGGGCUUCACACAUGCUACAAUGGCCGGUACAAAGGGCUGCGAUGCCGUAAGGUGGAGCGAAUCCUUUCAAAGCCGGUCUCAGUUCGGAUUGGGGUCUGCAACUCGACCCCAUGAAGUCGGAGUCGCUAGUAAUCGCAGAUCAGCAACGCUGCGGUGAAUACGUUCCCGGGCCUUGU